CCUACGGGAGGCAGCAGUGAGGAAUAUUGGUCAAUGGGCGCGAGCCUGAACCAGCCAAGCCGCGUGAAGGAUGACUGCCCUACGGGUUGUAAACUUCUUUUAUAAAGGAAUAAAGUGAGGCACGUGUGCCUUUUUGUAUGUACUUUAUGAAUAAGGAUCGGCUAACUCCGUGCCAGCAGCCGCGGUAAUACGGAGGAUCCGAGCGUUAUCCGGAUUUAUUGGGGUUAAAGGGUGCGUAGAUGGGUUGUUAAGUCAGUUGUGAAAGUUUGGGGCUCAACCGUAAAAUUGCAAUUGAUACUGGCAGCCUUGAGAACAGGAGAGGUAGGCGGAAUGCGUAGUGUAGCGGUGAAAUGCUUAGAUAUCACGAAGAACUCCGAUUGCGAAGGCAGCUUACUAGACUGCCACUGACAUUGAGGCUCGAAAGUGUGGGUAUCAAACAGGAUUAGAUACCCGAGUAGUC
This 460-nucleotide ribosomal RNA is filed under the name uncultured bacterium. Its description in RNAcentral is "partial 16S ribosomal RNA". It matches the Rfam family "Bacterial small subunit ribosomal RNA", at positions 338 to 795 of the family's 1533-position model. The record is from RNAcentral.